AUGAGUUCCAUGGAGGGAAGUGUCAUGAAGUACCCAGAGCCUGCAAGAGGGAGCACCGAAGCCAGCAGUGCUAAGACGUCAUGGCCGGAGGUGGUCGGGAUGUCCGCCAAGAAGGCCAAAGAGAUCAUCCUCCGGGACAAGCCCGAUGCCCAGAUCGAGGUCAUCCCGGUCGAUGUGCAGGUGACCCAGGACUUAAAUCUCAACCGUGUCCGCAUUGUCGUUGCCGUUGCCCGCACCCCUAUGGUUGGCUAG
This 252-nucleotide ribosomal RNA is filed under the name Triticum aestivum (bread wheat). RNAcentral describes it as "partial small subunit ribosomal RNA". The record is from RNAcentral. Lineage: Eukaryota; Viridiplantae; Streptophyta; Magnoliopsida; Poales; Poaceae.